AAAAUAAAAUAUUCCCGGUUCUAGGUUUGAACUUGGUACUGUUGGUAUCCAAGUUGUUUCUUUCUGUUCCAACGACUAGACGAUCACGGCUAUGAACAGAUUACAGGACAUAUUUUAAAAUUGACAUACUUAUAUAUUGUACAUUUGUAGCAUGAGCAAUUCUGAUUGGGUUUCAGAAUGCGUACCACAAAUAUUACCAGUUUAUUUACUGAUUGAAGAUGGAUGCCAAAUGUAAUAACGUUGAAAUAAUCUAAACAUAAUGAAAGCGAACCAGAUUACACAAUAUUUAUAUAUUAUUGUUCAAUGAAGACCGAUCAAUGUACUUAUU
Molecule: long non-coding RNA, 328 nt
Filed under: Mytilus galloprovincialis (Mediterranean mussel)
Lineage: Eukaryota; Metazoa; Mollusca; Bivalvia; Mytilida; Mytilidae
Source: RNAcentral